ACUUAAAUAGUAUAACUAUUAUAUUUAACUUCCAAUUAAAAGAUCUAUUUUAUAGUUUAAGUA
This 63-nucleotide transfer RNA is filed under the name Cladiscus yunnanus. Its description in RNAcentral is "tRNA-Gly". Lineage: Eukaryota; Metazoa; Arthropoda; Insecta; Coleoptera; Cleridae. The record is from RNAcentral.